RNAcentral lists this long non-coding RNA (212 nucleotides) under Homo sapiens (human). RNAcentral's name for it is "long non-coding RNA NONHSAT168433". The record is from RNAcentral. Lineage: Eukaryota; Metazoa; Chordata; Mammalia; Primates; Hominidae.
GGUGGAUUUUCUCCUCUGAUGCCGUCUGGCCCAGGAGGACAUCAUCCUCCGCCCUGGAGGGCCCAUGAGAUGCUCAGGGCCACAUCAGUACAUUUCUAUGCAGCUCCAGAUAGGUACAACCCACAGAGUACAAUUACUGACCUGAAACAUUUCAUCUCUCAGGGAUGUGAUAUUUUCCCCUCCAGUAAUGAUCAACUUUUAAGAAAGACAUU